This 1411-nucleotide unclassified non-coding RNA is filed under the name Octopus sinensis (East Asian common octopus). Its description in RNAcentral is "tetratricopeptide repeat protein 31, transcript variant X7". Lineage: Eukaryota; Metazoa; Mollusca; Cephalopoda; Octopoda; Octopodidae. The record is from RNAcentral.
UUGAUCACGUGAUAUAUUCACAUGCUUUGGUGAAUAUGGCGGUUGCUGCUUGUGUUGGUGCGAGGUGACACUUGGAUGUUUACGGUGCAAAUGAAGGAAAGGAACUUCGACUCUAUUAUGUUUUGUUCUAAAUGGCUUUGACAAGGAAGGAAGCUUACAAUACACUUGAGUUGCCCAUUGGUGCUUGUGAAAAACAUUUAACAAAGAUGAAACCAGUUCAAAGUAGAAAUGAAUUAACAGAAGAUGAAGAGAAAGAAAGGCGGCGAGCUGAGAAAAGAAGAGCUAAGAAAAAAAGACAAAGAGAAAAGAAAAAAUUAGAAAAACUGGAAAAACAUCCAAAAGAGAAUGGAAACACUUCCCAAAAUAAGGCUAAAGAUUUCAGUGAUUCCAGAAAGGAGCAGAAAUCAAAGAACAGUAAUAAACUAUUAGUUUCAGAUACCACAGAUGACGAAGCAGAUUUUGACCCUAGUUCAGCAUUUUUUACCAAUAUUGUAAAUAAGAAAAAAAUGAAUCUCAAUAUUAGUGAACAAUCUCAACUCUCCAAUAAAGACCGCAGUAAGGACAGAUCAAUCUUACAAUCUCACAGUGCCAAGAGUGAAGAUGAUAUAGAAGAACUUGAUACAGUUGUUCUCAGAAGCCGCAAGUUAGCAAUUCGAGGUAAUGAAAUGGCACAAAUGGGUCAUUAUGCCGCUGCUAUAGAUCUUUUCACAGAAGCAAUACGACUUGAUCCAAGUGAUUUUCGAUUCUUCGGAAAUCGUUCUUAUUGCUAUGAAAGAAUACAGCAAUAUGACAAAGCCUUAAAAGAUGCUGAAAAGUCCAUAUCAAUAUCUUCAAACUGGCCAAAGGGAUUCUUUAGAAAGGGUCGAGCUUUGGCUGGACAAAAACAAUAUUCCAAAGCUGAAGAAGCAUUUCUACAAGUGAUACAAUUAGAUAUAAAUUGUGAAGAUGCAAGGCAGGAGUUACUGAAAGUACAAAUGCAUCAGCUUACUGAAAUGGGUUUUACAAAAUUGCAGGCUGAAGCUGCCAUCACACAGUAUGGAACAGUGCAGACAGCUUUGGAUUCUCUAUUAGCUGGAAUUGUGGCUGACAAUCUCAAUAAUGGUUUGGGUUCAGAAAAAGAAUUUUCUAUCAACAAUUUGAAUCACAUUACAAUAAACAGCUCAUGUUCAUCACCCAUGGAUACCAAAAUGGACCCAGCAAAUCCCGAAGGAUUGACAGCAUUGUGGGUAGGAAAUGUUUUACCUGAAGUGUCAGAAAAGAAAUUAAACCAGUUGUUUUCAAGGGAGUGGAGUGUGGUGGCCAAAAACUGUUGAUAAAAUUUCCUGAUAAUCCAAUAAUUAAUGUAGGAAAUGUCACAAUACUAAAAGCUUCUACUUCUAACAAUAGCAAAAGAUAUAUUCUAAUCACAGAC